GUGCCAGCAGCCGCGGUAAUACGGAGGGUCCGAGCGUUAAUCGGAAUUACUGGGCGUAAAGCGUGCGCAGGCGGUUUGUUAAGCAAGAUGUGAAAGCCCCGGGCUCAACCUGGGAAUUGCAUUUUGAACUGGCAAACUAGAGUCUUGUAGAGGGGGGUAGAAUUCCAGGUGUAGCGGUGAAAUGCGUAGAGAUCUGGAGGAAUACCGGUGGCGAAGGCGGCCCCCUGGACAAAGACUGACGCUCAGGCACGAAAGCGUGGGGAGCAAACAGGAUUAGAUACCCUGGUAGUCC
This 292-nucleotide ribosomal RNA is filed under the name uncultured microorganism. RNAcentral's name for it is "partial 16S ribosomal RNA". It matches the Rfam family "Bacterial small subunit ribosomal RNA", at positions 505 to 796 of the family's 1533-position model. The record is from RNAcentral.